RNAcentral lists this ribosomal RNA (431 nucleotides) under uncultured bacterium. RNAcentral describes it as "partial 16S ribosomal RNA". It matches the Rfam family "Bacterial small subunit ribosomal RNA", at positions 29 to 507 of the family's 1533-position model. The record is from RNAcentral.
AACGAACGCUGGCGGCAGGCUUAACACAUGCAAGUCGAGCGCCCCGCAAGGGGAGCGGCAGACGGGUGAGUAACGCGUGGGAACGUACCUUUUGGUUCGGAACAACUCCGGGAAACUGGAGCUAAUACCGGAUAAGCCCUAACGGGGAAAGAUUUAUCGCCGAAAGAUCGGCCCGCGUCUGACUAGCUAGUUGGUGAGGUAACGGCUCACCAAGGCGACGAUCAGUAGCUGGUCUGAGAGGAUGAUCAGCCACACUGGGACUGAGACACGGCCCAGACUCCUACGGGAGGCAGCAGUGGGGAAUAUUGGACAAUGGGCGCAAGCCUGAUCCAGCCAUGCCGCGUGAGUGAUGAAGGCCUUAGGGUUGUAAAGCUCUUUUGUCCGGGAAGAUAAUGACUGUACCGGAAGAAUAAGCCCCGGCUAACUUCGUG